RNAcentral lists this ribosomal RNA (450 nucleotides) under uncultured bacterium. RNAcentral describes it as "bacterial SSU rRNA". It matches the Rfam family "Bacterial small subunit ribosomal RNA", at positions 354 to 796 of the family's 1533-position model. The record is from RNAcentral.
GUGGGGAAUUUUGGACAAUGGGGGCAACCCUGAUCCAGCCAUGCCGCGUGCGGGAAGAAGGCCUUCGGGUUGUAAACCGCUUUUGUCAGGGAAGAAAUCCUUUGGGUUAAUACCUCGGAGGGAUGACGGUACCUGAAGAAUAAGCACCGGCUAACUACGUGCCAGCAGCCGCGGUAAUACGUAGGGUGCGAGCGUUAAUCGGAAUUACUGGGCGUAAAGCGUGCGCAGGCGGUUUUGUAAGAUCGAUGUGAAAUCCCCGGGCUCAACCUGGGAACUGCAUUGGUGACUGCAAGGCUGGAGUGCGGCAGAGGGUGAUGGAAUUCCGCGUGUAGCAGUGAAAUGCGUAGAUAUGCGGAGGAACACCGAUGGCGAAGGCAAUCCCCUGGGCCUGCACUGACGCUCAUGCACGAAAGCGUGGGGAGCAAACAGGAUUAGAAACCCUUGUAGUCC